UGUUAUUCUUUUUCAGGGUCUAGUUUAGAUACUAAAGUCAUGAUCAAACCAAGGCUUCUGCUGCCCUUGUGAUAUUUACUUACCAAUGGGGAAGAAAUAAAACAAAUAAAUAUAUAGUCAUAUAAUGUGUAACAAUAUAUCAGGCAUUAGUAAGCUUCAGGAAGCAGAAUAAAGCAGGGUAAAAAAGUUGGCACUUCACAUAGAGUGGUCAUGGAAGGCAUCAUUAAAGAGGUGGCUUAAGCAGAGAGCCAAAUGAAGUGAAGUGAGAAGCCAUAUGAUUAUCUGGAGAGGAACAUUCCAGGUGAAGAAAACAGCCGCGGACAUGAUUGAGGACCAGCAAGGAGGUCGUUAAGACUGAAGUAGAGCAAACAAGGGAAGAGUGAUCUAACUGAGAGCGACUGAACAAUUUGGAAAGUACCUGAUAUAACAGUUGAGUAUUUUGGAGAAAAUUCUGCCAUGUGGAAAAGAAACUGCGAAAAUGAUUUCUAUCCCAUCCAUUCUGUUUAAGAAAAAACAAAAAGGAUUUUGGGGUGACCUUGAUCUGAUAGAAUGCACACUUUAGAAUACUCUCAUAGUAAAAAAA
Molecule: long non-coding RNA, 583 nt
Organism: Sapajus apella (tufted capuchin)
Lineage: Eukaryota; Metazoa; Chordata; Mammalia; Primates; Cebidae
Exons: 3
Source: RefSeq, a predicted model, not a curated record